CUCGUUCCUCCUGUGAACCCUAAGGAAACCCCAAAUCCUUUUCCCUUUUUUGGAGAAAGUUCUGAAAUUGUUCAAAUGAAAACCUAUGUUUUUCAUCACUGUUCUGCAUCUUCUCGAUUAAAAAACCAAUAUCUAACCCCUAACCCUAGAUUUGCUUUAAACAGAUUUGAUGUUCCUGCUGCUGAACAAGUCGAACCACGCAAACAAUUUUUAUAUCUGAAACUCACUAUUCUCGUAUAGCAGAUUUACAGUUUUUGUUACAUUUCUGAACAAAUCGAUUUGUGUUUCGAUUCUAGCACUGGUGGUGGUGAAGAAGAACCUAAUAUCUUCAAGCAAAGAAUCGAUUCAUUGGUAGUCUGUAUUGUCAAUGAUAAAAUCCUUUUCGCGAUUAAUUGGGGUUGCAGGUUACUUAAACUGGUAUUUAUUGUGAUUCCUGACGAUGAUGGUGUGGUGGUGGUGAUGAAGAAGAAGAUGACUCAGUUUGCUAAGAAGAUUGCUCUUCACCGUGCUUGUCUGUCUUAUGAGGUGGGGUUACUAGUUUGUUGGGAGCUCUAUAUAUAAUUCAAUACCUUCUUGUUGUAGCUGAGGAGACCCACUGGGUAGAUCAGCUUCAAACAAUAAGUUGUCUCCUAGUUCUAGAGAUGAAGAGAUGCCUCUUGGUCAGUUAGCUCCGAGCAGCAAGAAUCUUCAGACUGAAUCUGGACGAGGUACUUCACAAUAUCCAGACACCCCUGCUAAAGUUUUACAAGAUAUUGCAAUCAACUGCGGAUCGAAGGUAAUUAAAAAGGAUACUAUAUUACAUAAAUGCCUCCUGGUUGGUGUCUUAAAUAUAUUGUACUUCUGUGUUCUUAUGGGUUUGGUUCAGCGUGGAAAAGUAGGUGAGGGAAUUGGGAAGACGAGGAAGGAAGCCCAACAUCAAGUAGCAGAACGUUCUCUGAGGACUUUGGCUAGUAAGAAACCACCUAAUAUUAUUUCGAGUAUCUGUCUAUUGUUUACCAGUUGUUCAAAGUCCUGCUUUCAUUUUUCAUGAAGUGCAAAUAGUAUCUCUGCCUUGAAGUGAUAUGCUUCAUCUUUACAGCUUUAUUAUGAACUUAAACUAGCAGAGAAUCUUCAUGAUUUUGUCUCUGUUGGCAUCUUCUGUAGCAAUUGUUAAUGUACUUGUCUUCUGGUGAAACUCUUUAAUUGCCAUUCGUAUCUUUCUGUUUAGUUCUAAGUGAAGGGAACAUCUGAAGCAUGGCAUGCAUCUGUCCAAGUUUAUCUAGUUGCCAAUGACUUUGUUCAGUGACGCAGGCAUGCUAUCUUUCACUUUCUUCCAUCACCAGAGAGCAACUAUGUUAGAAAUAGUUCCAUCUUCUUACAAGAUAUUUGUCAACUUCAAUCACUAAUAUACCAGUUACAAAUUUUAACAUCUUGAUCAAGUUAAUUUUCUUUUCCCGUCUUGGAGAAUCUAACCUGUUUCAGAUUUUAUGGUGCCUCUGCUUUUGGCAUGGAGUAGUGCUGAUAUUUUAGACAACUGUUUUGUAGAUAACUAUUUAAUAAAGGCUAAUCCAUCAGAAAAGGAUUUUGGAUGGCUCUGAUGUCAUUCAUAAGUUUAGAGGAUUCAGAAACACCAAUAGCCAAAUAGCAACAUCUUUUAUAGAUGGAAAAUAUGUUGUAUGUGCAAGUGAAGAUUCUCAUUUUCAUGGUUUUCCCGUCGUUUGCCAGAUCAGUAACAGGUUUGUAAAACCGGAAAAGAAGAUUGUGGAUCUUGUUAAUAAGAUGCGAGAGCGACGGUCAUUCCUGAUGUAAUUUGCUGUUAUGGCAGAUUAGUUUUCUCUUUUCUUAAAACCUCCAUUUCUGUACACACCAACAAUUCUUUCAUACAAGGAUAAUCUCGAGGAUAUAUAGUGAAUAGUGACAACUUUUAGUGUCAGUUAGAGAAGGAAGUACGGCGAUUUCCUCUCAUCAUUAUGGUGGUGGACGGAAGCCGUGCAAUAACAUCUGAAGCAGAUGUUAACAUGAUGGGAUAUGCGAAUAUGGAACAUGUUACUUCUGGAGUUCACUCCAGGUUGAGGGCUCGUACUUUUAUUGUUGCAGAGCCCAAGGGGAAGAGGGUAGUUUUUGUUAAUUUUGAUGCUUGUAAGACCUCACAAAUAGUGACAAUUAAAGUGCUCGAGAGACUUAAGACAAGGUACAGGGAUUUGUAAACCGACCAGAAUGUGCCGCUGCAAGGUUCAUGGAAGACUGGGCUGAAAAGAAAGGUUCAUUUUUCGAGAAGUCUCAAACAUAGUUUCUCAUCUGCAUAGAAAUUGUGUUGAGGAGAGGAGCAAAUGGCUUCAAGCAUAGAUGCUUCAACUGAUGAUUGCCAUGAUCUCCUCAGCAAAGUUCAAGGUUCUUCAUUUUAGUUAUCUGAAAAAUGAUGAGUAUACUUGUCAAUCUUUUGAUAC
This is a long non-coding RNA of Papaver somniferum (opium poppy), 2426 nucleotides long. RefSeq lists it as uncharacterized. The transcript has 6 exons. Lineage: Eukaryota; Viridiplantae; Streptophyta; Magnoliopsida; Ranunculales; Papaveraceae. The record is from RefSeq and is a predicted model, not a curated record.